Molecule: ribosomal RNA, 253 nt
Filed under: uncultured bacterium
Lineage: Bacteria
Description: partial 16S ribosomal RNA
Rfam family: Bacterial small subunit ribosomal RNA
Source: RNAcentral
UACAGAGGUGGCAAGCGUUGUUCGGAAUUACUGGGCGUAAAGGGCGCGUAGGCGGUUCGUUAAGUCCUGUGUGAAAUCCCCCGGCUCAACUGGGGAACUGCACAGGAAACUAGCGGGCUUGAAUUCGGGAGAGGGAUGUGGAAUUCCAGGUGUAGCGGUGAAAUGCGUAGAUAUCUGGAGGAACACCGGUGGCGAAGGCGGCAUCCUGGACCGAGAUUGACGCUGAUGCGCGAAAGCCAGGGGAGCAAACGGG